AUGAGAGCUGCUGCCUUAAACGGAAAGGAGCAGCAGGUUUGGGUGGUGGCAGGGGACAAAGCUGGACGCAGGCAGGAGCGCUAUAAGGAACCUUUAAAAAAAAAAAUCUUUGAGGUGCUGCCACCAGACUUAGACAAAAAAAGACACGUGUUGCUGAAGAUGGAUCAGGCUUUGCUAUUCAUCCAUAAUGAGCUUCUCGGGACCAACUUGACUGUCUACUGGAAAUUGGAAUCCUGUUAUCACUGCUUGUUUCAGGUUCUGGUAAAUGUUCCUCAGAGUCCAAAAGUGGGGAAGCCUAGCACUGUAGCCGUCCCUGUCAGCACCCAGCACAGAUCCAUCCUACAGCUGCACGACACCUUGGAAGAGAAAGAAGUUUGUAGGCUGGAAUACAAAUGAGGAGAAUUUGGAAACUAUUCUCUCUCGGUAAAGUACAUCCAUAAUGGAGUUAGUGAAAUUGCCUGUGACCGGGCUGUGAACGAGGAUCCAGCCAACAGUAACCUUCCUGUGAGCACCGCAUUCCUUAUUGGUCUCACUGUCAUCACUGAGGCUCUUGUGGAGUUUGGAUGCCUUUAAUAAUUGGAUUUCUAAGGCCAUAAGUUCUCGAGAAACUGAUCGCCUCAUCAAUUCUGAGCUGGGAUCUCCCAGCAGGACAGACCCUCUCGAUGGUGGCAUCCAGCCAGCAGUGUGGCAUCCAUUUGCCCUGCUGCUCCCUCUCCACGGCAUGGACACCUUCAGGGGGAUUGCUGUCAUACUCAGGGUCUUCGUCAAUUAUGGAGAAGGGAAAUAUUGAUACUUCAAACUCAUGAGUUGGAAUGGGUUGUUGUUAUUGCCUUGGUCCAUUGUCUUGGACAAGGUGCGCAUUCCUGGUGUGCUGCAGCUCUUGGGGGUGACUUGCUUUGUGGUUGCUGUGUCGGAGCUCCUCUUUGUUAAUCCUGUGCCUGAACAUUGUGCCUCAGAGAGGAGCUGCCUUUCUCUUCGAGACAUAAUGUCCAGCUGGUCCUAGAGGCUGCAUAUCCUGGCGCUGGAAGGCCUGUGUCUGGGCUUGACACUCCUCCUGCCAGUCUCUGGGUGCCCUACUGGUUAUCUUGGUCCUGGAGGCAUUGGGGAUUUUGGCAAGUAUCCAAAGUGUACUGGAGGAGCUGCGGGCUACAUGGACCCGCUUGCAGCUGGGAGACGAUCGCCUUUACCAGCACCCAUCUUCUGCUGUGCUUUACCACACCGAGGUGGCCUAUGACCCUGAGGGCAUCCUGGGCACCAUCCACUCCAUCGUGAUGGCCUUUUUAGUAGUUGAGGCCGGAAAAAUACUAUUGUAUUACAAGGCUCAGACUGAAGACAUCCUGGUUCGAUUCACUGCUUGGUGUUGUAUUCUUGGGCUCAUUUUUGUUGCUCUGACAAAAGUUUCUGAAAAUGAAGGUUUUACUCCAGUAAACAAAAAUCUCCGAUCCCUUUCAUGUGUCACCACACUCAGUUCUUUUGCCUUCUCCAUCCUGCUGGUCCUGUACCCGGUUGUGGAUGUGAAGGGGCUGUGGACAGGACCCCUGUUCUUUUAUCCAGGAAUGAAUUCUAUUCUGGUGUAUGCUGCCCAUGAGGUGUUUGAGACCUACUUCCCCUUUCAGUGGAAGUUGGAGGACAACCAGUCCCACAGGGAGCACCUGACUCAGAACAUUGUUGUCACUGCCCUCUGGGUGCUCACUGCCUACAUCUAGAGAAAGAAGAUUUUUUGGAAAAUCUGA
Saimiri boliviensis boliviensis (Bolivian squirrel monkey) is the source of this 1733-nucleotide non-coding RNA. The record is from RefSeq and is a predicted model, not a curated record. Lineage: Eukaryota; Metazoa; Chordata; Mammalia; Primates; Cebidae.